This 1293-nucleotide long non-coding RNA is filed under the name Taeniopygia guttata (zebra finch). RNAcentral's name for it is "lncRNA (ENSTGUG00000020468.1)". Lineage: Eukaryota; Metazoa; Chordata; Aves; Passeriformes; Estrildidae. The record is from RNAcentral.
CUCCCUGUGCCUGCUGUGGGCCAGGGAAUUCCAUCCUGGAGGUGAAGCAGGAAGGACACCCCAGUGGCUGGGGCCAAGGGGGUGUCACUGCUCCCUGGGGAUAUGUGACAAGGAACCCAUCCUUGGGUUCCUGUGGGUGGGGGUUCAGCUGCCUGGCACAGGAAGAGCCAGCCCUCUCUCUCCACGUGCAGGGAGUGCAGGGAACCUGGAGCUGUCUGCCUGCCCUGGGUAGUGGAGCGGCUGCUGGAGGGGAACAGCCUCACCUUCCUGCUGCUGUGUGUGUCACUGCCAGACACCUCCAGAGAGGAGAUCCUGGGAGCUCUGGCACUGGCUGAGAGGGUGAAGGGGCUGGCCAAGACCAUCUCUGCCACACUCUGGGACCCUGAGGAGGAGAUUGCGGCGCGCCGGCGGGAGAUGCGCGGGCUGCGGAUGGAGCUGCUGGCUGGGCCCGGCCGCCCGGAGCAGAGGAGAGCUGUGGCCCAGCUGCAGAGAGCCCUGCGGGAGCUGCAGGUGCUGAAGAGUCAAAGGUGGGAGAAAAAGCAGGCAGUGGCCAAGGUGCUUGGGACAGCUGAGAUGCACCAGCCGAGUGCUGAGGUGGGCAGAGAUCAGACCAGACCCCUCAUCAGGGACAGUCUGGUGCAGGAAAAGCCCUGAAUCCCAGCUGGGUGCCUGUAACAUCUCCUUCUCUGCCAGGACCAGGUCUCUGCAGGGAAUACAGCUCCACGCCAGCAGCCUGGGACCCACACACCCCCGAGCAGUGGCAGCCUGGAGCCAGCAGAGCCGGAGCGUGGGGCCAGGCACGCAUCCAGCUGGGUGGAGGGUAUGUGGGCACAGAGCAUGGCUUUACACGGUGGGAAAGCCCUCACUCUCCACCUGAACAUCCUUCUUCAGCCCCCAUGCCACACUCAGCCUCCUCCCCUGUCCCCACACUGCAGGACGAUGUGACAGCAAAAGCCAGGGAGGGGACAGCCGAGCUCUGGCCAGCGCAGGGCAGGGGCUGCUGGAGGAGCCAUCCCAGAGCAAAGUGUCACAGGCACAGCCACGGCCCGGGUGUGACAGCGUGAGUGGGAGCCUGCAGGGUCCCUGUGCAGGGCCAGCCCUGCUGCCAGCACUGGCUCCUGGUGCCACCCGAGCCCGCUCUGCUCUCCUGCAGGCAGGGAGCCGGUGCCAGCCGUGCCCAGCCCCACAGGUCCGGCGUGCCCUGGCCAGGGCGCAGCGGCAGCGGCUGCGGGCUCAGCACUGCCGGCAGCUCCAGCGAGAGCUCGGGGCCAGCACUGCGCUGGCCCAGGAGCA